UACAGAGGGUGCAAGCGUUGUUCGGAAUUAUUGGGCGUAAAGAGCGUGUAGGCGGCCAGGUAGGUCUGCUGUGAAAACUCGAGGCUCAACCUCGAGACGUCGGCGGAAACCAUCUGGCUAGAGUCCGGAAGAGGAGAGUGGAAUUCCUGGUGUAGCGGUGAAAUGCGCAGAUAUCAGGAAGAACACCCGUGGCGAAGGCGGCUCUCUGGGACGGUACUGACGCUGAGACGCGAAAGCGUGGGGAGCGAACAGG
Molecule: ribosomal RNA, 253 nt
Filed under: uncultured bacterium
Lineage: Bacteria
Description: partial 16S ribosomal RNA
Rfam family: Bacterial small subunit ribosomal RNA
Source: RNAcentral